GCAAGAAAGAACCCACCAGUUUUGCCACUUGGUUCACCAAAAUUUGCCUAACAAACAACUUGAACCAGAACCAGGCAACCAAUCUCUCUCAUCGUCUAUCCAAUUGCCAAUUUCUGAGCUUUCUAUUGUACUUGGAAGGAUGUCAAGCUAUUCAAUUGAGUCCACUACAGUAGAAACCAAUGAUGGAGUGAAGCUCCUGACGAGGCUCUUCAAGCCCAUAGAAGAUGAGAUCAAAGACAAAUUGGUGAUUGUUCUUGUCCAUCAGUAUUCAGUCUUGGGUGGUUGUCAAGCUCUUUUAAAAGGAAUGGCAAUUGGGUUGGCACAGAAAGGUUACAGGGCUGUCACUUUUGACAUGAGAGGUGCUGGGAGUUCCACAGGGAGGCCUUCUCUCACUGGGUUUUCUGAAAUCAAGGAUGUAAUUGCUGUCUGCAAAUGGGUUUGCGAAAAUUUAUCAACUGACAAGAUUUUGUUGGUGGGUUCCUCUGCAGGUGCACCAAUUGCAGGAUCUGCAGUAGAUGAGAU
RNAcentral lists this unclassified non-coding RNA (522 nucleotides) under Hevea brasiliensis (rubber tree). The record is from RNAcentral. Lineage: Eukaryota; Viridiplantae; Streptophyta; Magnoliopsida; Malpighiales; Euphorbiaceae.